Molecule: ribosomal RNA, 492 nt
Filed under: uncultured bacterium
Lineage: Bacteria
Description: partial 16S ribosomal RNA
Rfam family: Bacterial small subunit ribosomal RNA
Source: RNAcentral
AGUGAACGCUGGCGGUAGGCCUAACACAUGCAAGUCGAACGGCAGCACAGUAAGAGCUUGCUCUUACGGGUGGCGAGUGGCGGACGGGUGAGGAAUACAUCGGAAUCUACUUUUUCGUGGGGGAUAACGUAGGGAAACUUACGCUAAUACCGCAUACGACCUACGGGUGAAAGCAGGGGAUCUUCGGACCUUGCGCGAUUGAAUGAGCCGAUGUCGGAUUAGCUAGUUGGCGGGGUAAAGGCCCACCAAGGCGACGAUCCGUAGCUGGUCUGAGAGGAUGAACCGGCACACUGGGACUGAGACACGGGCCCGACUUCCACGGGGGGGCACAGGGGGGGAUAUUUGACAAUGGGGCGAAACCUUGUCCAGGCCAUCCCGGUUGGGUGAAGAAGGCCUCCGGUUUGUAAAGCCCUUUUGUUGGGAAGGAAAGGAAGCGGGUUAAAACCCCGCUGUCUGGCCGUUCCCAAAGGAUUAAGCCCCGCCUACUUCCUG